Gossypium raimondii (Peruvian cotton) is the source of this 133-nucleotide non-coding RNA. Lineage: Eukaryota; Viridiplantae; Streptophyta; Magnoliopsida; Malvales; Malvaceae. The record is from Rfam.
UUAAAAGUGAGGAGGCGGCUUAUAAGAUUGUCUCUUCAUAGGGAAGAACAUUGAGGUAUAUCAAAAACGAAGGCCGAGAUAUCGUUUCAGUCGUCAUUUCUCCAUUGACGAUCUGAUUGUUGCUCGUCCACAU